AACUUUUGGCAAUGGAUCACUUGGCUCUCGCCUCGAUGAAGAACGCAGCGAAAUGCGAUACGUAAUGUGAAUUGCAGAAUUCAGUGAAUCAUCGAAUCUUUGAACGCACCUUGCGCCCCUUGGAAUUCCGAGGGGCACACCCGUUUGAGUGUCGUGAACAUCCUUCAACCUUUCUUGGUCUCUUAACCGGGGAAGGCUUGGACUUUGGGGGUCUUUCAUUGCUGGCCUCUUUGAAGCCAGCUCCUCCUAAAUGGAUUAGUGUGGUCUGCUUUGCCGAUCCUUGACGUGAUAAGAUGUUUCUACGUCUUGGGUUUCGCACUGUCGCUUUAGACCCCGCUUCUAACCGUCUUGCAUUCAAGACAGAGUUUUAAACCUUGACCUCAAAUCGGGUGAGACUACCCGCUGAACUUAAGCAUAUCAAUAAGCGGAGGCU
Molecule: unclassified non-coding RNA, 433 nt
Filed under: uncultured Russula
Lineage: Eukaryota; Fungi; Basidiomycota; Agaricomycetes; Russulales; Russulaceae
Description: sequence contains ITS2
Rfam family: 5.8S ribosomal RNA (bases 1-154)
Source: RNAcentral